This 253-nucleotide ribosomal RNA is filed under the name uncultured bacterium. RNAcentral's name for it is "partial 16S ribosomal RNA". It matches the Rfam family "Bacterial small subunit ribosomal RNA", at positions 524 to 776 of the family's 1533-position model. The record is from RNAcentral.
UACGUAGGGUGCAAGCGUUAAUCGGAAUUACUGGGCGUAAAGCGUGCGCAGGCGGUUUUGUAAGUCUGUCGUGAAAUCCCCGGGCUUAACCUGGGAAUUGCGAUGGAGACUGCAAGGCUUGAAUCUGGCAGAGGGGGGUAGAAUUCCACGUGUAGCAGUGAAAUGCGUAGAGAUGUGGAGGAACACCGAUGGCGAAGGCAGCCCCCUGGGUCAAGAUUGACGCUCAUGCACGAAAGCGUGGGGAGCAAACAGG